UACGUAGGGGGCAAGCGUUGUCCGGAAUCAUUGGGCGGAAAGAGCGUGUAGGCGGCCAGAAAAGUCCGCUGUGAAAACUCGAGGCUCAACUUCGAGCUGUCGGUGGAAACUUUCUGGCUAGAGUCCGGAAGAGGAGAAUGGAAUUCCUGGUGUAGCGGUGAAAUGCGCAGAUAUCAGGAAGAACACCCGUGGCGAAGGCGGUUCUCUGGGUUAACACUGACGCUCAUGCACGAAAGCGUGGGGAGCAAACAGG
This 253-nucleotide ribosomal RNA is filed under the name uncultured bacterium. RNAcentral's name for it is "partial 16S ribosomal RNA". It matches the Rfam family "Bacterial small subunit ribosomal RNA", at positions 524 to 776 of the family's 1533-position model. The record is from RNAcentral.